Molecule: long non-coding RNA, 336 nt
Organism: Cygnus atratus (black swan)
Lineage: Eukaryota; Metazoa; Chordata; Aves; Anseriformes; Anatidae
Exons: 4
Source: RefSeq, a predicted model, not a curated record
UGAUGAGAUAGGUGAAACCCUUCAUCAAGGCUGGGAUGCUGUUAUCAUAACAUAUAAAGAAGCUUUUCAUCACAAAGAUCCAGCUUAGAAUCCAUUUCCUGUGUGAAAGUUUUGCAUCAUUAGAGAUCAACUUGCUUGGAGUUGUUUUCCAGCUUAGGCAGAAUGAUUAGCAUGAUCUUUCUGAGAUGGAACAUGCCCAUAAGAUCGACAGUGUUCUGUGGGAUCUUCCAGAUACAUAACAAGUGCAUAGGAUUCCACAGAAGAUGCUUCUAGUUUCCUUAGGCUCCUUGAAGAGACAGAUAUCUGGAUAUUUAACUUGAAAGAAAGAUGGGCAGA